RNAcentral lists this non-coding RNA (104 nucleotides) under Bacillus sp. CECT 9360. RNAcentral describes it as "SAM". It matches the Rfam family "SAM riboswitch aptamer (S box leader)". Rfam says of the family: The SAM riboswitch is found upstream of a number of genes which code for proteins involved in methionine or cysteine biosynthesis in Gram-positive bacteria. The SAM riboswitch acts at the level of transcription termination control. Lineage: Bacteria; Bacillati; Bacillota; Bacilli; Caryophanales; Bacillaceae. The record is from RNAcentral.
GUCUUAUCAAGAGAGGCGGAGGGACUGGCCCGACGAUGCCCGGCAACCGGUAAACACAUACACGGUGCUAAAUCCAGCAGAGUAUUGGCUCUGGAAGAUAAGGA